Molecule: long non-coding RNA, 245 nt
Filed under: Gossypium barbadense (sea-island cotton)
Lineage: Eukaryota; Viridiplantae; Streptophyta; Magnoliopsida; Malvales; Malvaceae
Description: long non-coding RNA (GBAR_LNC000442)
Source: RNAcentral
AAGAAUUGAAUAAAACCCAUACAUGACAUACACACAAGAUAGGGAAGAACGGGAUAAAACCCACACAUAGCAUAUACACAAGAUAGGAAAGAAUUGGAUAAAAUCCAUACAUGACAUACACACAAGAUAGGGAAGAACUGGAUAAAACUCACACAUAGCAUACGUACAAGAUGUGGAGGAACGGGAUAAAAUCCACACAUUGCAUACACAUAAGAUGGGAUUAGGGACCCACACGUGCGUAGUUG